This 69-nucleotide transfer RNA is filed under the name Rattus norvegicus (Norway rat). It matches the Rfam family "tRNA". From Rfam's summary of the family: Transfer RNA (tRNA) molecules are approximately 80 nucleotides in length. Their secondary structure includes four short double-helical elements and three loops (D, anti-codon, and T loops). The record is from Rfam by way of RNAcentral. Lineage: Eukaryota; Metazoa; Chordata; Mammalia; Rodentia; Muridae.
GGGGAUUUAGCUCAGUGGCAGAGCACUUGCCUAGCAAGCACAAGGCCCUGGGUUCAGUUCCCAGCUCCG